This 255-nucleotide ribosomal RNA is filed under the name uncultured bacterium. RNAcentral describes it as "partial 16S ribosomal RNA". It matches the Rfam family "Bacterial small subunit ribosomal RNA", at positions 524 to 777 of the family's 1533-position model. The record is from RNAcentral.
UACGAAGGGGGCUAGCGUUGCUCGGAAUCACUGGGCGUAAAGCGCACGUAGGCGGAUCUUUAAGUCAGGGGUGAAAUCCCGAGGCUCAACCUCGGAACUGCCUUCGAUACUGGCGAUCUUUGAGUCCGGGAGAGGUGAGUGGAACUCCGAGUGUAGAGGUGAAAUUCGUAGAUAUUCGGAAGAACACCAGUGGCGAAGGCGGCUCACUGGCCCGGUACUGACGCUCAGGUGCGAAAGCGUGGGGAGCAAACAGGG